CGAUUAGAUAGUAGGCGGGGUAACGGCCCACCUAGUCGACGAUCGGUAGCCGGACUGAGAGGUUGAUCGGCCGCAUUGGGACUGAGACACGGCCCAGACUCCUACGGGAGGCAGCAGUGGGGAAUAUUGCGCAAUGGGGGAAACCCUGACGCAGCAACGCCGCGUGCAGGAAGAAGGUCUUCGGAUUGUAAACUGUUGUCGCGAGGGAAGAAGAAAGUGACGGUACCUCGUGAGAAAGUCACGGCUAACUAC
Molecule: ribosomal RNA, 252 nt
Filed under: uncultured bacterium
Lineage: Bacteria
Description: partial 16S ribosomal RNA
Rfam family: Bacterial small subunit ribosomal RNA
Source: RNAcentral